RNAcentral lists this transfer RNA (125 nucleotides) under Cricetulus griseus (Chinese hamster). It matches the Rfam family "tRNA". Rfam says of the family: Transfer RNA (tRNA) molecules are approximately 80 nucleotides in length. Their secondary structure includes four short double-helical elements and three loops (D, anti-codon, and T loops). The record is from Rfam by way of RNAcentral. Lineage: Eukaryota; Metazoa; Chordata; Mammalia; Rodentia; Cricetidae.
GGGGGUGUGGCUCAGUGGUAGAGCCCCUGCCUAGAAUCCCCCAGUGAGGGGCUGGGGGCGUGGCUCAGCAGAUAAGUGCUUUUGUAAGUGGCAGGAGACCCUGGCUUCAACCUCCAGUACCACUA